AGUGAACGCUGGCGGUAGGCCUAACACAUGCAAGUCGAACGGCAGCACAGUAAGAGCUUGCUCUUACGGGUGGCGAGUGGCGGACGGGUGAGGAAUACAUCGGAAUCUACUUUUUCGUGGGGGAUAACGUAGGGAAACUUACGCUAAUACCGCAUACGACCUACGGGUGAAAGCAGGGGAUCUUCGGACCUUGCGCGAUUGAAUGAGCCGAUGUCGGAUUAGCUAGUUGGCGGGGUAAAGGCCCACCAAGGCGACGAACCGUAGCUGGUCUGAGAGGAUGAUCAGCCACACUGGAACUGAGACACGGUCCAGACUCCUACGGGAGGCAGCAGUGGGGAAUAUUGGACAAUGGGCGCAAGCCUGAUCCAGCCAUACCGCGUGAGUGAAGAAGGCCUUCGGAUUGUAAAACCCUUUUGUUGGGAAAGAAAAGCAGCAGGUUAAUACCCCGCUGUUCUGACGGUACCCAAAGAAUAAGCACCGGCUAACUUCGUG
RNAcentral lists this ribosomal RNA (492 nucleotides) under uncultured bacterium. RNAcentral describes it as "partial 16S ribosomal RNA". It matches the Rfam family "Bacterial small subunit ribosomal RNA", at positions 29 to 507 of the family's 1533-position model. The record is from RNAcentral.